UCUCAGUUCGGAUCGCAGGCUGUAACCGCCUGCGUGAAGUCGGAAUCGCUAGUAAUCGCGGAUCAGCAUGCCGCGGUGAAUACGUUCCCGGGCCUUGUACACACCGCCCGUCACACCAUGAGAGUCGGGAACACCCGAAGUCCGUAGCCUAACCGCAAGGGGGGCGCGGCCGAAGGUGGGUUCGAUAAUUGGGGUGAAGUCGUAACAAGGUACC
Molecule: ribosomal RNA, 214 nt
Filed under: uncultured bacterium
Lineage: Bacteria
Description: partial 16S ribosomal RNA
Rfam family: Bacterial small subunit ribosomal RNA
Source: RNAcentral